This is a long non-coding RNA of Uranotaenia lowii, 478 nucleotides long. RefSeq lists it as uncharacterized. The transcript has 3 exons. Lineage: Eukaryota; Metazoa; Arthropoda; Insecta; Diptera; Culicidae. The record is from RefSeq and is a predicted model, not a curated record.
ACACUCAUAGUGUGUCACGAUGAUUUAAAUUUUUAAUCUUUUUUACGUCGAAAUCAUCAUAAAUAGCUUACAAAAGGAAUAUUGUUCACACAGUUGUUUCCCAUAAUCGACCUUUACCGCACCCGGAAGAGGCCAUCGAGUGGCUGGGGAAAGUUGAUGGAGUGCAUCGGAAGGAAGAAGGGAACCAAAAGAGAUGUGCUUAUCAUCUAAUCGGAGCAGCCACCACUAAAGCACUUGGGAAUGGAUCCCGCAGAAAAUCCCUUACAGCGACGGAAACCAUCAUCUGGGAGACAGUUUUCUGGAAGGCCAAAACAAAAAAAUAUCAACUGGCAUGAUGAAACAGGUGGCUGCAUCGAACGGAAGCAAAUCCGUACUGGAAGCUGGAGACUGUGAGGUCCAUAACAGAACCGAGCCGGCUUAGAAAAAACCCCUGAAAGAUAAUAAUCUUCGGUAACGAUCGCCCCCAAGGAACUGCAAC